AUUGAACGCUGGCGGCAGGCUUAACACAUGCAAGUCGAGCGGAGAUGAGGUGCUUGCACCUUAUCUUAGCGGCGGACGGGUGAGUAAUGCUUAGGAAUCUGCCUAUUAGUGGGGGACAACAUUCCGAAAGGAAUGCUAAUACCGCAUACGUCCUACGGGAGAAGGCAGGGGAUCUUCGGACCUUGUGCUAAUAGAUGAGCCUAAGUCGGAUUAGCUAGUUGGUGGGGUAAAGGCCUACCAAGGCGACGAUCUGUAGCGGGUCUGAGAGGAUGAGCCGCCACACUGGGACGGAGACACGGCCAAGACUCCUACGGGAGGCAGCAGUGGGGAAUAUUGGACAAUGGGGGAAACCCUGAUCCAGCCAUGCCGCGUGUGUGAAGAAGGCCUUAUGGUUGUAAAGCACUUUAAGCGAGGAGGAGGCUACUGAGACUAAUACUCUUGGAUAGUGGACGUUACUCGCAGAAUAAGCACCGGCUAACUCUGUGCCAGCAGCCGCCGUAA
This 501-nucleotide ribosomal RNA is filed under the name uncultured bacterium. RNAcentral describes it as "partial 16S ribosomal RNA". It matches the Rfam family "Bacterial small subunit ribosomal RNA", at positions 30 to 523 of the family's 1533-position model. The record is from RNAcentral.